GACGAACGCUGGCGGCGUGCCUAAUACAUGCAAGUAGAACGCACAGUUUAUACCGUAGCUUGCUACACCAUAGACUGUGAGUUGCGAACGGGUGAGUAACGCGUAGGUAACCUGCCUGGUAGCGGGGGGUAACUAUUGGAAACGAUAGCUAAUACCGCAUAAUAUUGAUUAUUGCAUGAUAAUUGAUUGUAAGAUGCUAUUGCAUCACUACCAGAUGGACCUGCGUUGUAUUAGCUAGUAGGUGAGGUAACGGCUCACCUAGGCGACGAUACAUGGCCGACCUGAGAGGGUGAUCGGCCACACUGGGACUGAGACACGGCCCAGACUCCUACGGGAGGCAGCAGUAGGGAAUCUUCGGCAAUGGACGAAAGUCUGACCGAGCAACGCCGCGUGAGUGAAGAAGGUUUUCGGAUCGUAAAGCUCUGUUGUAAGAGAAGAACGGGUGUGAGAGUGGAAAGUUCACACUGUGACGGUAGCUUACCAGAAAGGGACGGCUAACUACGUG
This 505-nucleotide ribosomal RNA is filed under the name uncultured bacterium. Its description in RNAcentral is "partial 16S ribosomal RNA". It matches the Rfam family "Bacterial small subunit ribosomal RNA", at positions 28 to 507 of the family's 1533-position model. The record is from RNAcentral.